RNAcentral lists this ribosomal RNA (445 nucleotides) under uncultured bacterium. RNAcentral describes it as "partial 16S ribosomal RNA". It matches the Rfam family "Bacterial small subunit ribosomal RNA", at positions 354 to 796 of the family's 1533-position model. The record is from RNAcentral.
GUGAGGAAUAUUGGACAAUGGGCGCAAGCCUGAUCCAGCCAUGCCGCGUGCAGGAAGACGCAUCUAUGGUGUGUAAACUGCUUUUGUACGGGAAGAAACACUCCCUCGUGAGGGAGCUUGACGGUACCGUAAGAAUAAGGAUCGGCUAACUCCGUGCCAGCAGCCGCGGUAAUACGGAGGAUCCAAGCGUUAUCCGGAAUCAUUGGGUUUAAAGGGUCCGUAGGCGGUUUAAUAAGUCAGUGGUGAAAGCCCAUCGCUCAACGAUGGAACGGCCAUUGAUACUGGUAGACUUGAAUUACAAGGAAGUAACUAGAAUAUGUAGUGUAGCGGUGAAAUGCUUAGAUAUUACAUGGAAUACCAAUUGCGAAGGCAGGUUACUACUUGUGGAUUGACGCUGAUGGACGAAAGCGUGGGGAGCGAACGGGAUUAGAUACCCGUGUAGUCC